CUACGGGUGGCUGCAGUGAGGAAUAUUGCACAAUGGGGGGAACCCUGAUGCAGCAACGCCGCGUGGAGGAUGACGCAUUUCGGUGUGUAAACUCCUUUUAUAUGUCAAGAAAAUGACGGUAGCAUAUGAAUAAGCGCCGGCUAACUCCGUGCCAGCGGCCGCGGUAAUACGAAGGGCGCAAGCGUUACUCGGAAUCACUGGGCGUAAAGGACGCGUAGGCGGGUUGAAAAGUCAGGUGUGAAAGCCUACAGCUUAACUGUAGAACUGCACUUGAAACUCUCAAUCUAGAGUAUGGGAGGGGCAGAUGGAAUUAGUGGUGUAGGGGUAAAAUCCGUAGAUAUCACUAGGAAUACCUAAAGCGAAGGCGAUCUGCUGGAACAUUACUGACGCUAAGGCGUGAAAGCGUGGGGAGCAAACAGGAUUAGAUACCCUGGUAGUC
Molecule: ribosomal RNA, 439 nt
Filed under: uncultured bacterium
Lineage: Bacteria
Description: partial 16S ribosomal RNA
Rfam family: Bacterial small subunit ribosomal RNA
Source: RNAcentral